UACGGGGGGAGCAAGCGUUGUUCGGAUUUACUGGGCGUAAAGGGCGCGUAGGCGGCCACUGCAAGUCAGUUGUGAAAUCUCCGGGCUUAACCCGGAAAGGUCAACUGAUACUGCAGGGCUAGAGUGCAGAAGGGGCAACUGGAAUUCUCGGUGUAGCGGUGAAAUGCGUAGAUAUCGAGAGGAACACCUGAGGUGAAGACGGGUUGCUGGGCUGACACUGACGCUGAGGCGCGAAAGCCAGGGGAGCAAACGGG
This 254-nucleotide ribosomal RNA is filed under the name uncultured bacterium. Its description in RNAcentral is "partial 16S ribosomal RNA". It matches the Rfam family "Bacterial small subunit ribosomal RNA", at positions 524 to 776 of the family's 1533-position model. The record is from RNAcentral.